RNAcentral lists this ribosomal RNA (253 nucleotides) under uncultured bacterium. RNAcentral describes it as "partial 16S ribosomal RNA". It matches the Rfam family "Bacterial small subunit ribosomal RNA", at positions 524 to 776 of the family's 1533-position model. The record is from RNAcentral.
UACGUAGGGGGCAAGCGUUAUCCGGAUUUACUGGGUGUAAAGGGAGUGUAGGUGGCAUGGCAAGUCAGAAGUGAAAGCCCAGGGCUCAACCCCGGGACUGCUUUUGAAACUGCCAAGCUAGAGUGCAGGAGAGGUAAGUGGAAUUCCUAGUGUAGCGGUGAAAUGCGUAGAUAUUAGGAGGAACAUCAGUGGCGAAGGCGGCUUACUGGACUGUAACUGACACUGAGGCUCGAAAGCGUGGGGAGCAAACAGG